AUUUUAUAACACUUCCAAAUAGUAAAAAACAUAAUAGUUUCUCCACUACCCAAUCAAGUGCCGAUCAAGCGAUGAAUGAAGCAUGCACAGAUAAACUUUUACCUGUGACAUGCCUGGGGCUAAUUUCCACUACCGGACACGGUUUUAUGGCUCUUUAGCCUGUGUAUUGCUGUCAAAUCAAGCCAGUUGCGCUGGUGUAUAAAUUUGUUAAUGGGGGGGGGGGGGGGGGGGCAUAGUAAUAAAAAUCGUAUCUAGCCAGCCAGCUGGGGAGGCCCCUGUCCCCUCCCCCCACCUGGACACGUGCCUGACUUAGAUAAGUCUGCUAUUCUAAAAUUGAGAUAUUGAUGAAGUUAUUGUUGUUUUUUUUUUCCUGUAACAAUAUAUUUAUAGUUCAAGUAUACUAUGGUAGUAGUAUUUGUCAGCAGUACUUAUUCAAGUCACGCAAAUAUGAUAUUUCUGUUUAGGCACGAUAUAAAAAACUUAAUCCUUACCAUGCUAAACUACAAUAAUGAACUUGUCUAUCUUUCAAUUUGGACAGUACAAUUAAUUAUGAAAAGGGGUGCACACCCAAAAAAAUACUGGCUGAAUGGCAGAGAGUACAGAUCAUGAUCAGUCUGCACGGAUGUGCAGGCUGAUCAUGAUCUACACUGAUUGCAAAGGAAGAACCAAUAGUGUCUAGCAUGGUCAUCUAAACGCAAAAACCGGUCAUGCGGAUAGACAUCAAAAUGUUGAAUUGAACUGGUAUUUGAGACUUAAAUCUUCAGAAUAUUAUUUCAUAAAACUGGUCGAUAAAUCGAAGUGGAAGUCUUUAGGAAUGGCGAGUAAACAG
Long non-coding RNA from Mercenaria mercenaria, 829 nucleotides. RefSeq lists it as uncharacterized. Lineage: Eukaryota; Metazoa; Mollusca; Bivalvia; Venerida; Veneridae. The record is from RefSeq and is a predicted model, not a curated record. The transcript has 2 exons.